CGGGAUUUAGCUCAGUGGUAGAGCGCUUGCCUAGCAAGCACAAGGCCCUGGGUUCAGUCCCCAGCUCCGA
Molecule: transfer RNA, 70 nt
Filed under: Rattus norvegicus (Norway rat)
Lineage: Eukaryota; Metazoa; Chordata; Mammalia; Rodentia; Muridae
Rfam family: tRNA
About the family: Transfer RNA (tRNA) molecules are approximately 80 nucleotides in length.
Source: Rfam by way of RNAcentral